GAAAUAUAGUCAACCGUUUAUUAUCGCUAAUUAAAUACUAUCAGGCUCUAUCUCUAUACUGGACCCUUUUAUAUCUGACACAAUGUCCUCUUGUUCCAGACUGGCCUUUUUAUGAAGUAAAAUUAGUGCUUAUCAUCAUUCGUGAGGAUGGAAACAAAACAAACAUUUACGAUGCCCGAGAAGUUGCUCAUCAGUGGUUGACACAAGCAUUACAAGAAUGGCCAAAUCCUGUACAUUUGCAUAAAGUGAAAGUGUUUCCUAUAGGAAGUACUCUUACACGCUCCAAUGGAAGUGCAAAGGGGGGAACCAUGCAACAGUUUGCCACCAGUCCUGGACUCAGCCAGUUUGAUUGCUUGGCUCACCUGAAUGUGAUUUCUAAUGCUGAUGUAGGAGAAAUACAGGAUGAACUCACUGAGAUCCUCGCCAAGCGUUACAAAAUUGACCACUAUGAAAUAAAAACAGAUGCUAACUUCAUCUUCAUAUAUACUCUUGAUGAUCUCUUGCCGGACCUGGACACAAACCCACCCUUAACCGCGACUGAGUCUCUGCCUCAUACAACUGAAACACAAACAACCACAAUUCCUCAGCUGACGUCUACAACUACUGAAAUUAUUACUACUGCACAAACAACAGGCACAACACCCAAUCAAGUGGCAAUAACAACAGAAGUUGUUUCAUCCUCAACUGAAACAAAAAAAAUCACUACCUCCACACCAUCCAUGGAAACAACCCUGGCAGGAAGUUCCACGACUUUUUUAUCCUCCACAAGAAGUCUUACAUUAAAUACAGCCGCAUGCUCUUCUACUAUUUCACCUGAAGGAAACAUAUCAGAAAGUUAUUUUAGUGUCAAUGUCAAUGUGACUAUCAAUGGCUCUGGUGACCCUGAGAACAUAAUUACAACCUGGCUUCAUGAAACUCUUUCUGGUAAAGGAAUACAUGUGUUG
Molecule: long non-coding RNA, 944 nt
Organism: Cyprinus carpio carpio
Lineage: Eukaryota; Metazoa; Chordata; Actinopteri; Cypriniformes; Cyprinidae
Source: Ensembl